CACAUAGGAGGCAAACGUUAUCCGGAUUUACUGGGCGUAAAGCGCGUGUAGGUGGUUCUGUAAGUAGGGCGUGAAAGCUCCCGGCUCAACUGGGAGAGGCCGUUCUAAACUGCAGAGCUAGAGGAUGGUAGAGGGAGGUGGAAUUCCGGGUGUAGCGGUGGAAUGCGCAGAUAUCCGGAGGAACACCAGUGGCGAAGGCGACCUCCUGGGCCACUCCUGACACUCAGACGCGAAAGCUAGGGUAGCAAACGGGAUUAGAUACCCCGUAGUCCCUGAG
RNAcentral lists this ribosomal RNA (277 nucleotides) under uncultured prokaryote. RNAcentral describes it as "partial 16S ribosomal RNA". It matches the Rfam family "Bacterial small subunit ribosomal RNA", at positions 524 to 801 of the family's 1533-position model. The record is from RNAcentral.